This 685-nucleotide long non-coding RNA is filed under the name Heterocephalus glaber (naked mole-rat). RNAcentral describes it as "lncRNA (ENSHGLG00100033892.1)". The record is from RNAcentral. Lineage: Eukaryota; Metazoa; Chordata; Mammalia; Rodentia; Bathyergidae.
CCAACUCAGAGGAGCCAUGGGAUAAGAAAAGAGGAGCAUUUAUCUUGGAUGAUUGAGUGGAGGAAAUACAUAGGCUAAAACCUAAAUGAUACAUAAAAGCCAGGAGUCACCAGUCCAAGAAGCCCUGCUAGUAACCAGUGAUCCAGUCCAUCCCAUGCAGACCCGAGAGCAGGACCUCAACUUCCUGGGCAGAUGGAGAAAGGCAUAAAGAAAGGCAAAAUAUCUGAAAGACUGAGCAUUUUUACCACAAAAGAGUAUGCACUACCUAAAAAGAAUAUUUGAAACGAUUUCCGGGAAAUCUGUUUGUGGGAGAACUGUGAGGCCGGUCUAAAGCUGAGAUGUCAAUCAGAGGCAGCAGUGUAGGGGAGAAGCCAGAUGGCUCACUGCUGCUCUUCACAUUGGAAGAAUGACAAGUAAAACCCAAGGAAGAACAUUUAAAACUUCAUGACAUGAACAGGGUGCAAAGAUUACCUUUCUUUCAGUUGCAGCAUGAAAUUCAAGUUUACUGAGGGUCCUGAUAAUGAAAGAAAGCACUCUUAGAAAGAUAAAUCCAAAGGCAAUGUUUCUUCUAAUGUUAAUAAAUCUCAUACAUUCAAUGAAACAGACAGGCUUUAAUAGUUCUGUAUGACUUAACCUCUCAAUCAAUAUAAAGAAAUUUGAUAAGCCUGGGUAAAAAGAAUUUAAU